Molecule: ribosomal RNA, 427 nt
Filed under: uncultured bacterium
Lineage: Bacteria
Description: bacterial SSU rRNA
Rfam family: Bacterial small subunit ribosomal RNA
Source: RNAcentral
GUGGGGAAUAUUGGGCAAUGGGCGCAAGCCUGACCCAGCGACGCCGCGUGAGGGAAGACAGCCUUCGGGUUGUAAACCUCUGUUGCAGGGGAAGAAGGAAGUGACGGUACCCUGCGAGGAAGCUCCGGCUAACUACGUGCCAGCAGCCGCGGUAAUACGUAGGGAGCGAGCGUUGUCCGGAAUUACUGGGCGUAAAGGGCGCGUAGGCGGCGCUUCAAGUCGUCUGUCAAAAGCCGAGGCUCAACCUCGGCGCGCAGACGAAACUGGAGAGCUUGAGAAGCAGAGAGGCAAACAGAAUUCCUGGUGUAGCGGUGAAAUGCGUAGAUAUCAGGAAGAAUACCAGUGGCGAAGGCGGUUUGCUGGCUGCAUACUGACGCUGAAGCGCGAAAGCCAGGGGAGCAAACGGGAUUAGAAACCCCAGUAGUCC